GCUUUUUAACAUUCAGAAUGGAAAAUGAGAAAGGGCCUUAUGACAUCUUAAGAUUUUCUAUGUAAAUAAAUAAAGGCGACCUGAUAAACCAAAUACUGAGUUUGAACAAAUUAAAAAGUGAACAUUACACUGCAAAAUAGAAAAGUACCAAACUGAUCAUUCUAAUCCGAAAUGUUAGAAGAAAUCAAACCAGUUUCUGAGUUUUAUAAUUAAUAUCGUUUUUUUUUAUCUCGUUGUGAUUGCUAGAUGCACGUGAAUAGUUAAAUGGAAUAGACUUCCUUUGGAAUUUUUUUGGUGAUGGCACUUUCCAGAUAUAUUCUGUGAAGAAGAGUUUUCCCCCAUGGGAAAGAAAUGACAAGCGUUAUUUCCCAAAGACCUUUCCGUGGGUUUUGUGCAAAAUGCACAUCCACAAAGACGGGCAAAUUCCUAACACCUUUUCUUAACUGAGGCUAGGAGCACCAUUGCAUUUGUGUGCUGGCCAGCAGCCUCAAAGAGCCAGAGGAGGAGCGUGAAAACGCCAGUGAUUCUGCACAGGGAGAAGAGAUUUCACAGCAACUUAGCAAGCAAACAAGACAAAAGUUAAAGAGUGAUGGCACUAUACCUUGCCCCCGGUCACUCAGACGUGCGCUUCCCAUUUUGUACAUGAUGAAGAGUUUUGGAAACUACGUCUGAGUCCAAUGGAUCAUUUUGUUUGUGGAAUCAAAGCCCACCUAACAGUGAAACAAGCCACUGGAUAUCCUUGAAUGCUGUAUUUUGUAUCUUGGUCACUAGUUUAGCCCAUAACCGUGUAAAAAUUCACUGGGGCUAUUGUAUAAAAUCUAUACGGCUGAGCAGACUCCUGUAUCUUGUUUAUUUAAGCAGCAGAAUGAUUACAUUUGCUCUAGAUACACUAGUUUCAGGCAAAAGCAUGCAAACCACCCAGUGUAUAAAGUUCCCAAAUUUAACCAAACCACAAUCACUUUUCAAAAUCUUCUAUCACAAGUGUAUUAGACAAUCGUAUAUGCCUUU
RNAcentral lists this long non-coding RNA (1008 nucleotides) under Gopherus agassizii (Agassiz's desert tortoise). Its description in RNAcentral is "lncRNA (ENSGAGG00000007732.1)". Lineage: Eukaryota; Metazoa; Chordata; Testudines; Testudinidae. The record is from RNAcentral.